This is a long non-coding RNA of Rhinichthys klamathensis goyatoka, 574 nucleotides long. RefSeq lists it as uncharacterized. The transcript is spliced from 3 exons. The record is from RefSeq and is a predicted model, not a curated record. NCBI's taxonomy places the organism in Eukaryota, Metazoa, Chordata, Actinopteri, Cypriniformes, Leuciscidae.
UUAAGACAAAGCCAGAGAAGAGAAAGGACUUGGUGCUGACACUGGGCCUUGCUGGGGGCGUGAACCUCAAGGACACUGUGUGGAGGGUCAUGAAGAUGCUUAUUCAGAACGACUUGGCCUGCAAAAUGAAUUGGACAGGCCUCCAUGGCAAAACAUCAUUCCAGGGCCUAGAAGUCAAGAAUGUUGUUACAGAAGCCAUUCGGAGAAAUCCUGGAUGCAGAAAAUCCACGAACCAGGAGGUGGAGCAAGGGUUGAGGCAUUGGUUGUAUUUGGCUGGUGAUCGAUAGGGGGGAAGGAGGAGGAGAAGCACAGUCCUCCACCAUCAGCCACCCACCAGCACACAACGUCAGGCGCACACACCAACACACAACGUCAGCCACCCACCAGCACACGACGCCAGGCGCACACACCAACACACAACGUCAGGCGCACACACCAACACACAACGUCAGCCGCACACACCAACACACAACGUCAGCCACCCACCAGCACACGACGUCAGGCGCACACACCAACACACAACGUCAGGCGCACACACCAACACACAACGUCAGGCGUACACACCAGCACACGA